This 501-nucleotide ribosomal RNA is filed under the name Merlinius joctus. RNAcentral's name for it is "SSU rRNA". It matches the Rfam family "Eukaryotic small subunit ribosomal RNA", at positions 88 to 590 of the family's 1831-position model. The record is from RNAcentral. Lineage: Eukaryota; Metazoa; Nematoda; Chromadorea; Rhabditida; Merliniidae.
CGCGAAUAGCUCAUUACAACAGCUAUAAUUUACUUGAUCUUGACUUCCUACUUGGAUAACUGUGGUAAUUCUAGAGCUAAUACAUGCACCAAAGCUCCGACCUUACGGGAAGAGCGCAUUUAUUCGAACAAAACCAAGCGGCUUCGGCCGUCCGCAGUUGACUCAGAAUAACUAAGCUGAUCGCAUGGUCUUGAACCGGCGACGUGUCUUUCAAGUAUCUGCCUUAUCAACUUUCGAUGGUAGUGUAUCUGACUACCACGGUGGUGACGGGUAACGGAGGAUAAGGGUUCGACUCCGGAGAAGGGGCCUGAGAAAUGGCCACUACGUCUAAGGAUGGCAGCAGGCGCGCAAAUUACCCACUCUCAGAAUGAGGAGGUAGUGACGAGAAAUAACGAGACCGUUCUCUACGAGGCCGGUCAUCGGAAUGGGUACAAUUUAAACCCUUUAACGAGUAUCUAUGAGAGGGCAAGUCUGGUGCCAGCAGCCGCGGUAAUUCCAGCU